This 443-nucleotide ribosomal RNA is filed under the name uncultured Levilinea sp. RNAcentral's name for it is "bacterial SSU rRNA". It matches the Rfam family "Bacterial small subunit ribosomal RNA", at positions 924 to 1382 of the family's 1533-position model. Lineage: Bacteria; Bacillati; Chloroflexota; Anaerolineae; Anaerolineales; Anaerolineaceae. The record is from RNAcentral.
CACAAGCAGCGGAGCGUGUGGUUUAAUUCGAUGAUACGCGAAAACCUUACCUGGGUUUGACAUGCAAGUGGUAGGAAUCUGAAAGGGGACCGACCUUCGGGGAGCUUGCACAGGUGCUGCAUGGCUGUCGUCAGCUCGUGUCGUGAGAUGUUCGGUUAAGUCCGCUAACGAGCGCAACCCUCGUCGUGUGUUACAAGUGUCACGCGAGACCGCCGACGUCAAGUCGGAGGAAGGUGGGGAUGAUGUCAAGUCAGCAUGGCCUUUAUAUCCAGGGCUACACACACGCUACAAUGGUCAACACAAUAGGUCGCGAAACCGCGAGGUGGAGCCAAUCCUCAAAGUUGGCCUCAGUUCAGAUUGUAGGCUGCAACUCGCCUGCAUGAAGAUGGAGUUGCUAGUAACCGCAGGUCAGCACUACUGCGGUGAAUACGUUCCCGGGGUUU